This 550-nucleotide ribosomal RNA is filed under the name uncultured bacterium. Its description in RNAcentral is "bacterial SSU rRNA". It matches the Rfam family "Bacterial small subunit ribosomal RNA", at positions 777 to 1325 of the family's 1533-position model. The record is from RNAcentral.
AAUAGAUACCCCGGUAGUCCACGCCGUAAACGAUGAGUGCUAAGUGUUGGGGGGUUUCCGCCCCUCAGUGCUGCAGCUAACGCAUUAAGCACUCCGCCUGGGGAGUACGGUCGCAAGACUGAAACUCAAAGGAAUUGACGGGGGCCCGCACAGGCGGUGGAGCAUGUGGUUUAAUUCGAAGCAACGCGAAGAACCUUACCAGGUCUUGACAUCCCGGUGACCACUAUGGAGACAUAGUUUCCCCUUCGGGGGCAACGGUGACAGGUGGUGCAUGGUUGUCGUCAGCUCGUGUCGUGAGAUGUUGGGUUAAGUCCCGCAACGAGCGCAACCCUUAUUCUUAGUUGCCAUCAUUCAGUUGGGCACUCUAAGGAGACUGCCGGUGAUAAACCGGAGGAAGGUGGGGAUGACGUCAAAUCAUCAUGCCCCUUAUGACCUGGGCUACACACGUGCUACAAUGGACGGUACAAACGGUUGCCAACCCGCGAGGGGAGCUAAUCCGAUAAAACCGUUCUCAGUUCGGAUUGUAGGCUGCAACUCGCCUACAUGAACG